ACAUCCCCGGAGGGAGCCCAGCGAGGACGGCAGCAGCUCGGAGGAGAACGUCCUCUACCAGGCUGUCAUGGACGGCAGGGUGGCCAUCGAGGUGACACGGGGACAGGGGGGGACAUGGGGACAGGGGGGGACAUGGGGACAUGUUGGGGGGCACAGGGACACACAGGGAUAAAGGGACACGCGAGCAAAACCAGCUCCCAAAGGGACACGGGGACGUGUCCACCUUGGGAAGGGGACAUGGGGGGGGGGCAUUUGCUCAAAUGUGGGGCCACCACGUGUCACCACGUGCCACCACAUGUCACCACGUGCCACCACAUGUCACCACAUGUCACCACGUGUCACCACGUGUCACCACGUGUCACUGUGCCCGCAGGUGGCGGUGGACGAGUGGCUGCAGGGCUACAAGCGGGACCGGGAGCCGGCCUUCCUGGAGCUCGUCAACUUCAUCGUCCGCUCCUGCGGCUGCCGAGGCACGGUGACGCUGGCCAUGCUGCGGGAGCAGCAGAACACCGAGAUCAUCCAGCGGCUGACCGAGACCUUCAGCGAGGUACUGGGGGAUGUGUGGUGGUGUGGGGAUGCCGCCAUCUUGUCUCCUCUGUGAGGCGGCCAUCUUGUCACCGCUGUGACGCCGCCAUCUUGUCUCCUUGCAUCCCCACCACUUCCUCUCUUUGCGUCCCCUCCAUUUUGUCACCUGUGUGACCCCAGCAUUUUGUCCCUUGUGUCCUGGAUGCUUUAUAUUUUUCGUAUUGCUGCUGUUUUGUUAUUUCUGUGAGGCGGCCAUCUUGUCACCUGUGUGACGCCGCCAUCUUGUCACCUCACUUCCUUGCUAUUUUGUCCCUCUGCAUCCCUGCCACUUUGUCACCUGUGUGACCCAACGCUUUGUCCCUGUGUCCCCAACACGUUAUUUUUCUGCGUUGCCUCCAGUUUGUCAUCUCUGUGAGGCAGCCAUCUUGUCAC
This 957-nucleotide long non-coding RNA is filed under the name Anas zonorhyncha (Eastern spot-billed duck). RNAcentral describes it as "lncRNA (ENSAZOG00000009733.1)". Lineage: Eukaryota; Metazoa; Chordata; Aves; Anseriformes; Anatidae. The record is from RNAcentral.